RNAcentral lists this small nuclear RNA (98 nucleotides) under Tursiops truncatus (common bottlenose dolphin). The record is from RNAcentral. RNAcentral also lists the same sequence under 1 other name. Lineage: Eukaryota; Metazoa; Chordata; Mammalia; Artiodactyla; Delphinidae.
GUGCUCGCUUCCGCAGCACAUAUGCUAAAAUUGGAGUGACAUUAGCAUGGCCCUUGUGCCAGGAUGACACGCAAAUUCGGGAAGCGUUCCAUGUUUUU